GACGAACGCUGGCGGCGUGCUUAACACAUGCAAGUCGAACGGCAAGGCCCUGCUUUUGUGGGGUGCUCGAGUGGCGAACGGGUGAGUAACACGUGAGUAACCUGCCCUUGACUUUGGGAUAACUUCAGGAAACUGGGGCUAAUACCGGAUAGGAGCUCCUGCUGCAUGGUGGGGGUUGGAAAGUUUCGGCGGUUGGGGAUGGACUCGCGGCUUAUCAGCUUGUUGGUGGGGUAGUGGCUUACCAAGGCUUUGACGGGUAGCCGGCCUGAGAGGGUGACCGGCCACAUUGGGACUGAGAUACGGACCAGACUCGUACGGGAGGCAGCAGUGGGGAAUAUUGCACAAUGGGCGGAAGCCUGAGGCAGCAACGCCGCGUGCGGGAUGACGGCCUUCAGGUUGUAAACCGCUUUCGCCUGUGACGAAGCGUGAGUGACGGUAAUGGGUAAAGAAGCACCGGCUAACUACGUG
RNAcentral lists this ribosomal RNA (468 nucleotides) under uncultured bacterium. Its description in RNAcentral is "partial 16S ribosomal RNA". It matches the Rfam family "Bacterial small subunit ribosomal RNA", at positions 28 to 507 of the family's 1533-position model. The record is from RNAcentral.